AGCAUAUCAAUAAGCGGAGGAAAAGAAACCAACAGGGAUUGCCCUAGUAACGGCGAGUGAAGCGGCAACAGCUCAAAUUUGAAAUCUGGCUUUCGGGCCCGAGUUGUAAUUUGUAGAGGAUACUUUUGAUGCGGUGCCUUCCGAGUUCCCUGGAACGGGACGCCAUAGAGGGUGAGAGCCCCGUCUGGUUGGAUGCCAAAUCUCUGUAAAGUUCCUUCGACGAGUCGAGUAGUUUGGGAAUGCUGCUCUAAAUGGGAGGUAUAUGUCUUCUAAAGCUAAAUAUUGGCCAGAGACCGAUAGCGCACAAGUAGAGUGAUCGAAAGAUGAAAAGCACUUUGAAAAGAGAGUUAAAAAGUACGUGAAAUUGUUGAAAGGGAAGCGUUUAUGACCAGACUUGGACUUGGUUAAUCAUCUGGGGUUCUCCCCAGUGCACUUUUCCAGUUCAGGCCAGCAUCAGUUUUCGCCGGGGGAUAAAGGCAGCGGGAAUGUGGCUCUCUUCGGGGAGUGUUAUAGCCCGUUGUGUAAUACCCUGGUGGGGACUGAGGUUCGCGCUUCUGCAAGGAUGCUGGCGUA
RNAcentral lists this ribosomal RNA (573 nucleotides) under Fusarium sp. RNAcentral's name for it is "eukaryotic LSU rRNA". It matches the Rfam family "Eukaryotic large subunit ribosomal RNA", at positions 37 to 633 of the family's 3401-position model. The record is from RNAcentral. Lineage: Eukaryota; Fungi; Ascomycota; Sordariomycetes; Hypocreales; Nectriaceae.